This 440-nucleotide ribosomal RNA is filed under the name uncultured bacterium. Its description in RNAcentral is "partial 16S ribosomal RNA". It matches the Rfam family "Bacterial small subunit ribosomal RNA", at positions 338 to 795 of the family's 1533-position model. The record is from RNAcentral.
CCUACGUGAGACAGCAGUGGGGAAUAUUGCACAAUGGGGGGAACCCUGAUGCAGCGACGCCGCGUGAGUGAAGAAGUAUUUCGGUAUGUAAAGCUCUAUCAGCAGGGAAGAAAAUGACGGUACCUGACUAAGAAGCCCCGGCUAACUACGUGCCAGCAGCCGCGGUAAUACGUAGGGGGCAAGCGUUAUCCGGAUUUACUGGGUGUAAAGGGAGCGCAGACGGCUGUGCAAGUCUGGAGUGAAAGGCGGGGGCCCAACCCCCGGACUGCUCUGGAAACUGUAAAGCUGGAGUGCAGGAGAGGUAAGCGGAAUUCCUAGUGUAGCGGUGAAAUGCGUAGAUAUUAGGAGGAACACCAGUGGCGAAGGCGGCUUACUGGACUGCAACUGACGUUGAGGCUCGAAAGCGUGGGGAGCAAACAGGAUUAGAUACCCCUGUAGUC